This 253-nucleotide ribosomal RNA is filed under the name uncultured bacterium. RNAcentral describes it as "partial 16S ribosomal RNA". It matches the Rfam family "Bacterial small subunit ribosomal RNA", at positions 524 to 776 of the family's 1533-position model. The record is from RNAcentral.
GACAGAGGGUGCAAACGUUGUUCGGAUUUACUGGGCGUAAAGCGCGUGUAGGCGGCUUGGCAAGUCGGAUGUGAAAGCCCACGGCUCAACCGUGGAAGCGCAUCCGAAACUGCUUCGCUCGAGUCUCGGAGAGGAAGGUGGAAUGCUUGGUGUAGAGGUGAAAUUCGUAGAUAUCAGGAGGAACACCAAUGGCGAAGGCAGCUCGCUGGGACGUGACUGACGCUGAGACGCGAAAGCGUGGGGAGCAAACAGG